This is a long non-coding RNA of Cygnus olor (mute swan), 664 nucleotides long. RefSeq lists it as uncharacterized. The transcript is spliced from 3 exons. NCBI's taxonomy places the organism in Eukaryota, Metazoa, Chordata, Aves, Anseriformes, Anatidae. The record is from RefSeq and is a predicted model, not a curated record.
CAAAGAGGAUAUUUUGGUACUGAACGCCAGAUGCUCAGGCACCAGGAUGGCUCUGGCAGCACCCACGUCCUCCUGGGUGCUGCGCUGGCUCCCUGGGAGAUGGGGAAUCAGGGUUCCCGGCAUCUCCAGUGCAGACGUAAUUAAAGCCUUGCCUGCCUGCCACAGAGCAUAUGGGACAAGUUAGCAGAGUAAUUAAAUUUUGCAAAGUAUAAUCAUGUAGAUUGGGAGUGGUGACCACGCAUUUUUGCAUGGAGGUUUUUUGGAUGAGGAAAUCUGGAGUUUUCGCACCUUGCUUGUGCAAAGCUGAAGUUCAUCGUUUCCCAGGGAGUCAUCCUGGAGUACUGCCUCACCUGCAGAACCUGAGUAUGGCAUUGCUGGCUCAGGAAGAUUCCCCUGAAUCCAGGGAGACGUGGUGCCUGCGCGGAGACGAUCCCACGGACACAACCCAUAAGUCAUAAUAACGCGAGGGUCUUGGUAGGGCUGUCCUCCCAGCUGCCUCCUGGGAGGGGGAUAUUGAGUGCAUGAUGCUGGAGAAGAUCAAAGAGACAUCUACAGCUAAUAAAUCACCAAUAAUGGGUGACUUUGAGUGCCCACAUAUAAGGAGGCCAGCGAUGUUUAGUGAAUCAAUGUCUCGAUACUUUAAAUUAUCCUCGGAACAGUUACU